UGGAGUAGCCUUGGAACAGGUGAGGAUCAUGUGCCUCAUCAGGCCCAGGUGUUGCAAUCAGCCUGCAAAGUACAAAAGGGAAGCAGAGCUGAAGUGCUGUGUCUGCUCAGCAGCUCAUGUUGGUGGGCCUUGGUUUGGAUUUUCCUGGACCUGCUUUGGGUUUGACUUUGUACUGUCUCCUGACUGCUGGACUUCAAACCUGACUACCUGGGUUGACCCUGGACUGUGUUUCCUGACCUUUGCUCGUGUGGAUUGAUCCUCGGACAUUGAACUUUGGACUUGACAUCCUGACUUGCUGCCAGAGUGUCCUGUUUCAAUUUAUUGUCUCGUAAACAGAAAUACCUUGGACUGGAGAAGCUUCUAUCUAUGGUCCACCUGCCAGAGAGAGACUGUUUCAAACUGCUGCCAUGUUUUGACCGUAACCUGGAGACUUGUCCCUAGUGUAAUUACUACAGGGCUUGCAUUCAGGAUUAGAACCUUCAAUCCAGUUAUUUCAUUGGCUUUAACUGGUUUAUGAACUGCAUCAAAUAAGGCAACAGCCAAGUGAGGACCAGGGGAUCCCCGAGCAUCAAAGUCAGCAGCAUCUUCCUGCAAAAUAGGCCAAUGAAGAGUAGCCAGAAUGCAUUCAGGGGAAGCUGAAACAACUUUGCAUUUUAUCUCCCACAUGCUUCUCCAAUGUCAAAGGACAUCGCCUGUAAUUCCUACACUGCGUUAAACUUACUAAAUUAUUCAUUCUGAAUUAUGCUCUCAGAUGCUCUUGUCCUUCUGGAGAAGGUCUUUUGAGAGUCCCAGGGCUGAGCGCUUUCCAAGCAAUCCCUGGCUGCUGAUUAUUGACAUUGUGCUGUUAAUUUGCAAAGUGUUUUAAGGUACUCAGCCUGUUCUUGUGAAACUAGC
Molecule: non-coding RNA, 894 nt
Organism: Zootoca vivipara (common lizard)
Lineage: Eukaryota; Metazoa; Chordata; Lepidosauria; Squamata; Lacertidae
Source: RefSeq, a predicted model, not a curated record